GAAGAUGAACCAGAAUCAUUUUGGUGCUUUGUGGCAUUGAUGGAGCGGCUUGGACCAAAUUUUAACCGUGACCAGAACGGAGUGCAUUCUCAGCUUUUUGCAUUGUCAAAGGUUCUCUCUCUAUGUGUUUCCAUCUUUUCCCUUGCUAUUUUCUCAACCCCCAUCCCAUCUUUUGGUUUUUUAAAAGAUAGGGCAGCAAAAAUAUUAAAAAUAUUGAUUGAAAAUGUUUCUCAAUAAUUGUUAAGCAUAAUAAGGCUUUAAAUAGCCAUUUAGGAACAAAAUAUCCACCUAAUUUAAAAUUCAAAAAACCUAAAAUAUCUCAACAAACUUAAACAAUCUAAUAGAAAUUUAAAUUUGAAAUUAAUCCUAAAACUAAGCAACUUAUUAUGCUAAAAAACGUUAAUGCAGUAACUGAAAGCAACAAAAUUUCAACACUCCUUUGCUUCAGUUGCUGCAAUUUAAAAAAUUGCUCCUCCUCAAUUCUUGCUUCUGUUGUUUGUGCUUUGAAGAUUGUUUUUAGCAUCUAUGAAAUUGCACACUUUUGUAGUACAGUUCUUUUUCUUUUUUUCUUCUUUCUUUAUCGUCUUAUGGUUUUGUGCAUAAAAAACACCUUUAUUGACCUUGUCUUAUCUGAAAUCUCUUUUGAAAGUAUUUGAUUCUUGACAAUGAUCGGAUUUUCAGGGAUUGAUCGUAAGGAUUGUUCUUUCAUUACAACAUUCAAUAAAUCAUAGGUUUUGAGAUAUGGUUUUAUUUUCAUUGAGCAAAUCCGGUAGUUUUUGCCAGUGAAAAUUUGUGGGGCAUUCAAGAGAGACUGCUGCUUGCCAUGUUUGAAAAAAAAUUUAAAAAUUGAUAUUGGUUAAAAAUGAUUUAAAAAUGGUUCUUUGGAAGAACUCACAGAUCCCGUAAGACCAAUGAAGCUCUUAAUACCACUGUUGGUUUUUUGAAAGACGGGACAACAAAAAUAUUAAAAAUAUUGAUUGAAAAUGUCUCUCAAUAAUUUUAUUAUGCAUAACAAGGCAUUACAUCGCCAUUUAGGAACAAAAAAUUCACAUAACUUAAUAUUUAAAAAACGUAAGAUAUCUCAACUAACUAAACAAUCUAAUAGAAAUUUAAAUUUGAAAUUAAUCCAAAAACUAAGAAACUUAUUAUGCUUAAAAAAGUUAUUGCAGUAAUUGAAAGCAACAAAAUUUCAACACCAUCCCCAACUUUUCUAUAUUCACUAUUCAGUUUUGUACUUUGUGUACCUAAGCGAUGCUUCGUUCUUGCCUUCUUGGGUAUAGAAUACACUGCCUUUCUUCAAUAUAUUUCUUUUAUUAUUAUGUCAUGGAUAAUACCGUCGGUGCUCAAAAAAUAAAAGCUACACAAGGCUUAAAAGGCUCGAAGAAGUCAAUUAAAGCAUCAACACAAAAAUAUGCAGAAUAUAGAAGUUUCAUGGAUAAUACCGUCUAUUAGUAGCUACCUUAAAGCAGGGGCGACCUUUCCAUAAAGCAAGUAAAGCAACUGCUUUAGAUGGGGGCCUCAUGUUUUGUUACACCUAAAGACUAUGUAUAAAUUUUAAAAAAGGUUAUGUGAAGCGAAAAAAAUUAAUUUCUUUCUUUAACAAGUAUAGAGAAGAAGGAUUUAUAACUGCUAUGAUUUCUGCCACGAAAAUUGCACUUGAAAUGAAGAGUGAAACCGAAUUUCGUAAGAAAAGUAUGAUAUAUAGAAAGUAACAAUUUGAUGAGAAUGUUGAUAAUAAAAUCUCAAAAUCUUUUGAGAGUCCUUUGGAGUUGAUUACUUUAUACAUAGGAGACAAGGCUAUUUUUUCACUUCAAAAUAGAUUUGAUCAAUUCGAAGCAUAUGAAAAUAUUUUUGGUUUUCUAUUUAACGAUAAAAAUUAAGAUCACUAGAUGAUGAAAAUUUGAAAAAUGUUGCCUUAAUCUUGAAUGUUCCUUAAAGAAUAAUAAUCAAUUCGAUAUUGAUGAUUUGGAUUUAUUUUGGAAAUUAAAAUAUUAAAAAAAAUAGUACAAUUAGAAUAUAAUUAUUUAAUUGAUACACUCAUUGAAAUAAAAAGAUUUGAUUCUUUUUCCAAUAUCUAUAUUACUUAUGAAAUAAUGUUAAUAACUCUUGCUACUGUCGCUUCAGCGGAAAGAAAUUUUCAAAAUUAAAAUUGAUAAUACCUUACCUAAGAACAACAAUGUCUCGACUCAAGAAAAGUUAAAUGAAUUAGCUAUAUUGUCAAUUAAGAAAGAUUUAUUAGGAGUUGUUGAUUAUAAGAAAAUUAUUAAUAAUUUUGUAUCUAAGAAACAUUAGAAAAAUAGACUUAAAAUAAAUAAAUAGUUAAGGCCCCUCAUAAAAUUUGGGUUUAGGCUACAGAACUGUCGGGCCGCCCCUGCCUUAAGGUGCUCAAAAAAUAAAAGCUACACAAGGCUUAAAAGGCUCGAAGAAGUCAAUUAAAGCAUUAACACAAAAAUAUGCAGAAUAUAGAAUUUAAUUGAACCACAUGACCACAACUCGCUUGUAAUGGGACAAUGCAAUAGAGGACGUUGUUUCUGCAUAAAAGUAUCCUAGUUUUUGUUUCCUUCCUUAUUCUGAGGUAACACAACUAUAGCAUGCCAUGAUACAUGCUAAAAAGAAAAAGCUCUUUCUUGUUGCGAAUAGAACAUCAAAUGAUCCACCAUUAACUGCUGACGAAAUCCAGACCUCUAUGGUAGGCCAUGAAGCAAUGUAAGACUCCUUUUGGGACAGGAAAAAUUACGGGAUUGAAGAAUUAGGUGUCAGACAAAUACUAUCCUUCCAAUGACCACCUAAACAUGCCUGACUAUUUGAGAAAUGAAUCAUUUUAUGGCUAAUGUGUGACAAUGCUUCCAUAUUGUUUUCCUUAAAAGCUCCGACAUUUCCAUCCCUUCACACCCUUUUUUCCGUUAUAGAUUUUUUAUUUGUAAAUUUCACAGUAGCUGGAUGAUAAACAUAUGUCUGCUGUCAAAAUUCUAAUGCAAAAUUACUGGGCUAUGCAGUUGGUGGAACCCUUUGCAUGAUUACUUCAAACAGAAGGACUGCUUGAAUUAUUUCUUUUGCUUUCGCUGGGUUCUUAUACAAUUCAAAAGGCAAGCGGUUCUACUCUUGAAAAUUUUGUGCCCUGAUUGCAUCCAGCAUAUGAUGCGCUUGUGUAUGACAGAUUUUCUCUGCAUCCUACUUAUAAACAAACUUGUACUGUUUUCAUUUUCUGUUAGACUAUGCUAAUGCACUUAUAAGAAAAAAAGAGUUAGAUUUUGCUGAUGAAUAUGACUAAUACUGUUGAAAUAUUUCUGACCAUUGUGAGAUUUUGAGAUAUGUGGAUUAAAAGCCAAAUCCAAGUCCAUCUUUCUGAGCCGAGGGUCUAUCGGAAACAGCCUCUCUACCCUAUCGGGGUAGGAGUAAGGUCUACGUACACAUUACCUCCCCAGACCCCACUUGGUGGGAUUUUACUGGGUAGUUAUUAUUGUUGUUCAUGCGGGGAAGUAUGAGCUCUCGUCUCCUUGUUGAGUGCUUACUCCCAUGUUAGUAUAUUAAGUUGUUGGUGUAGCGUGUACCUAAGUUGCUCGGACACGGGGCGGAUCUAGUAAAUUCUAAGAUUCGGGGAUGCGGAUCCUAGUACGGAUAUGGAUGCAGGAAUCCGGCUAAAAAAUAGUCCAAAAUAAUAAAAAUAUAAAAAUAUCUCUAAAUUCUGAGAAAUUUUGCGGAGUACUUAUGUAUAGCUUGUAAUGUGUAGUUUUCUUUUUUUAUUCUCAAGUUGUAAAUAAGUAAAUGAUUGAUUUCCUAGAUAAUAUAUGCUAUUUUCAAAUUUACUCUUGUUUUGGUUAUGUUUUUGGGAAUCAAAUUGUAUCUUGUCUCAAAGUUUUUCAUCGUCAAUGUACUCAAAAUUGGUUGACCAGAUCUGGUAUGGAUCCCAUACCCACACCCAUACGAGUGUCCUGUCGAUACGGGUGCGGCUCCUAAAUUGCUAUGUCGGAGCAACUUAUGCGUGUACAUGACAACUUGUUCUUUUUGUCCAUUGAUCCUUCAACCAUGCACUUGACACCUAGGGAGCCAAAGUGAAAGAUCUAUUCUCUUGUUCACCCGAAUAAUCACUUCUUCUUGGACCUUAAUCAUACAUAUAAAUGUUCUAUUGCACCUAUUAUUGUUUAGAGCUUUGAUCUAGUGGUAAGAGCGUAAUAUGUGAUGUGUGGAUUAGGUUCACAUUAUGGGUUCAAACUCCGUUGCAGCCAAGGCCAUGGUAUUUAAGUGAAGAAGGGUAGAGGGGCAGACUCAUUAUCCAUGGAGCUGUGAACCGUGCGCCAGCGAUCCGGGAUUUCACGAUUAUUAAAGAAACAUGUCUAGAGGUUCAACCAAGUAACUUUAUUAGAGAUCGUCUUCAUUUAACGCCUCCCAAAAAGAGUGCCUCCAUUUAUGAAUAUUUCUCAGAACUACAAGACAAUGGCAUUGCUAGGUUCCUUUGUUGACUUAUAUAAAUCCAUAUUUACAUUUCUCUCUGAAGGAAGCACGAUAUGUGGUCCCUUAAAGCAUUAACCUUUAUGGAUGUGCAUCGUUUCUUCCCAGCAUCCGUCUCUCUGUGGAUGGGAAGAAAAGAGAAGACAAAGAGAGAAAAGAAUGCUUGAUUGCACAUAGGCAAAAAUGUUGUAGAUUUAGCAUGUUUUAGUAAUUUGAAUGUCGUUGAUGCAGCUAUCGUUUCUCAAUUCUUGUGUUACAUUCUGUUUAGACCGUCUUACUUCAAAUUGCACUAAACGGACACUUUGAUUUCAUUUUAGUUGAUACCUUGUUUUUUGCAGGGAGUUUGACUUGGAGAAGACAAUGCGGUUGUGG
Molecule: long non-coding RNA, 4821 nt
Filed under: Nicotiana benthamiana
Lineage: Eukaryota; Viridiplantae; Streptophyta; Magnoliopsida; Solanales; Solanaceae
Description: long non-coding RNA (NBEN_LNC037389)
Source: RNAcentral